Molecule: ribosomal RNA, 483 nt
Filed under: uncultured bacterium
Lineage: Bacteria
Description: partial 16S ribosomal RNA
Rfam family: Bacterial small subunit ribosomal RNA
Source: RNAcentral
AUUGAACGCUGGCGGCAGGCCUAACACAUGCAAGUCGAGCGGAUGAAGGGAGCUUGCUCCUGGAUUCAGCGGCGGACGGGUGAGUCAUGCCUAGGAAUCUGCCUGGUAGUGGGGGAUAACGUCCGGAAACGGGCGCUAAUACCGCAUACGUCCUGAGGGAGAAAGUGGGGGAUCUUCGGACCUCACGCUAUCAGAUGAGCCUAGGUCGGAUAGCUAGUUGGUGGGGUAAAGGCCUACCAAGGCGACGAUCCGUAACUGGUCUGAGAGGAUGAUCAGUCACACUGGAACUGAGACACGGUCCAGACUCCUACGGGAGGCAGCAGUGGGGAAUAUUGGACAAUGGGCGAAAGCCUGAUCCAGCCAUGCCGCGUGUGUGAAGAAGGUCUUCGGAUUGUAAAGCACUUUAAGUUGGGAGGAAGGGCAGUAAGUUAAUACCUUGCUGUUUUGACGUUACCAACAGAAUAAGCACCGGCUAACUUCGUG